CCUACGGGUGGCAGCAGUGAGGAAUAUUGGUCAAUGGACGAGAGUCUGAACCAGCCAAGUAGCGUGAAGGAUGACUGCCCUAUGGGUUGUAAACUUCUUUUAUAUGGGAAUAAAACGUUCCACGUGUGGGAUUUUGUAUGUACCAUAUGAAUAAGGAUCGGCUAACUCCGUGCCAGCAGCCGCGGUAAUACGGAGGAUACGAGCGUUAUCCGGAUUUAUUGGGUUUAAAGGGAGCGUAGGGGGAUUUUUAAGUCAGUUGUGAAAGUUUGCGGCUCAACCGUAAAAUUGCAGUUGAAACUGGCAGUCUUGAGUACAGUAGAGGUGGGCGGAAUUCGUGGUGUAGCGGUGAAAUGCUUAGAUAUCACGAAGAACUCCGAUUGCGAAGGCAGUUCACUGGACUGCAACUGACACUGAGGCUCGAAAGUGUGGGUAUCAAACAGGAUUAGAUACCCCUGUAGUC
RNAcentral lists this ribosomal RNA (460 nucleotides) under uncultured bacterium. RNAcentral describes it as "partial 16S ribosomal RNA". It matches the Rfam family "Bacterial small subunit ribosomal RNA", at positions 338 to 795 of the family's 1533-position model. The record is from RNAcentral.